RNAcentral lists this unclassified non-coding RNA (566 nucleotides) under Hevea brasiliensis (rubber tree). Lineage: Eukaryota; Viridiplantae; Streptophyta; Magnoliopsida; Malpighiales; Euphorbiaceae. The record is from RNAcentral.
CCUUCAACUGAGUUCACACAGGCUGCACACGUCAUACCCCCUAUUGUGAACUGCCCCAAAAGAGUUCCAUUUGGCUUUGUUUUAAAUGUAAUGGGUUCAGCUAGAAUCUCAGCCUCAAAGCCUGCAUCCUCAAUUGCUUUCUUGAUGUCAUCAUCCUUAACCAAAGUAGGGUUAAACACGACAUCAGCCUUAUUUUGAAGCAAGGCAACAGAGGCUCUCAAAACCCCAUUGACGCUCUUGAGAGCUGAUUCCACGGAAUUAGAGCAGGCAGCACAGGUCAUCCCCGUAACUCUGAUCUGAAUCCUCUUCAUCGCUUCUUCUCCUUCUGCUUCUCCUUCCCCGUCAAUCAUAAUUGUAUGCGAAUAAUCCGGGCUUUCAUAGGAGUCAAGGAGCCUAACGUCUUCGAGGUCGCCAGCUUCAUCUCCCGCCACGAUCAACGGACGUGAUUUCCUAUCGCCGGGGACCUCGGACAGCUGCAGGUCUCUUACGCUCGGCAACAUUGUUAGAUGCAACCCAGCGAGAGACAAUCUCUAGCAGAAGAAGAAGAAAGAAGAAUGUAAAUAAAA